GUCCCCUGCUGAAUUCUGUCCAGGCCUUCUGUAAGCUGGGAAGUGGACUCCACACUGUUGGAGAGCUGGAGCAGGUGGAGCAGUGGACCUGAACACUCUCUCUCUCUCUCUCUCUCUCUCUCUCUCUCUCUCUCUCUCUCUCUCUCUCUCUCUCUCUCUCUCUCUCUCUCUCUCUCUCUCCCACCCUGGACUCUUCCUCCUCAUCUCUCUGUCCACGUUUAUCCAUGAUUGCCUAUGGACAAAUAGGACUAAGAUGGAUUUUUGGGGUGUUUUUAUUCCACUUUCUCUUCUUUUUUGCAUGUGGACGGAUGCUGCUGGGGAAAUUUCCUGGACCUACAAUGGUUUGGUGGGACAGUCUGAAUGGUCUGAGUAUUUUCCAGACUGUAGUGGUACUUCCCAGUCCCCUGUUGAUGUGGUAACCACUCAGACCAAAUAUGACCCUAGUUUAACAUCUGUGACCCCGCUGGGCUACAAUCAGCAUGGCAGCAUGCCCUUUUCUCUGUACAAUAAUGGGCAUACAGCUGUGAUUGAGCUACCAGAGUGGAUGGGACUGGGAGGGUUGCCAUGGCUCUUUACAGCUGUACAACUGCACCUCCACUGGGGGAGCGGUGGCCCGAGCCCAGGUGGCAGUGAACACACCAUCAACGGACAGAGUGCAGAUGCAGAGCUCCACGUGGUGCAUUAUAACUCCGAGCUCUACCCCAACAUGUCUGUGGCCAUGACACAGAGGGACGGCUUGGCUGUUCUGGGAAUUCUCAUUAAGACAGGAGAGGAUACCAAUGAGGCAUAUGGCAACAUCAUCAACUACCUCAGCCGCGUCAGACAUGCAGACCAGAGAGUGUUCAUCCCGGCCUUUGACGUCCAGACUUUGCUUCCUAACGAUCUGGAACACUACUACCGCUAUAACGGCUCUCUCACCACUCCUCCCUGCUACCAGAGCGUCAUGUGGACAGUGUUCCACAAGAGGGUUCAAAUCUCACAUGCACAACUGUUGAAACUGGAGACGAUACUUUACUCCAGUAAAGCAGAAGAUCCAGACAGAAUGCUGCUGCAGGACAACUACCGUGCAACACAUUCGCUCAACCACAGGGUUAUCUUGACUUCAUUCAGCCCAGAAUCAGGGAAGAAGCUCACUUCUGGAGAAGUCACUGCCAUAGUGAUCGGAGUGAUGUGUGGCUGUGUUGGUCUGGCAGUAAUAGUUCGCUUCAUUAUUAAGAUGAUACGAUUUUUUACAGUCCUCCGCAGUGAAACGGUCGUGGCAAACAGCUCUACUUCUAGCUGGGACGUCCUACCCAAUAUCCGACCUGCUCCUAUGCUAAGGUCACAGUUCAAAUUAUGACCUUUCACCCUUAACUUCGACCUUUCAAUCCAAGACUCUUUGUCACAUCUGGCCAUCAGCCAUCCAUCCUUAGUGACAUAACAGUCAUGUUAGUCAUUAACACCUCGUUUAGAGAAUGUCUGGUUAUAUCACUUAUCUACUUAUAUGGCAGACAACUAAUUGUUCUGCACGGUGUGUGAAGGUGGACAAACUCUGAACAUUUUGCAUUCUCAAAACUGACAGUAAAAGUCUAGCCCACUCUGUAAGGUCUUCUCAGGUGUCUCCCAACCUCAAAGUCAAAGGAACCAGCAACAUCAAUGUCACAGUGCAGAUCAGUCAGUCUUUCUACAAA
Thalassophryne amazonica is the source of this 1670-nucleotide RNA transcript. It is a transcript of the gene named carbonic anhydrase XIV, with no coding region annotated. Lineage: Eukaryota; Metazoa; Chordata; Actinopteri; Batrachoidiformes; Batrachoididae. The transcript has 13 exons. The record is from RefSeq and is a predicted model, not a curated record.